UAUUUGGAAGGUGACUUCUAAGCUGCACUAAACAGAAAACAUUCAGAAGGGUCACUUCUAGACAGAGCACAGAGGUUUGAGGACAGCCGUUGAGGACUCGACUUCAGAGUGAUCUGCUCCAUCAGUGAACGAGAAACGUAAAAUAGCAGCAAUUUUGUGUGUGUUGGAAUCAUGACGAAGCCAAGACUUGAGCCACAGAAACCGUAGGCUGAGAUGGAGGAUUUGUCCAUCGUUCUGUGAGAGGAGAUUUUCAGCAUCAGAGGAAAUGGAGGAAAAGUGUAUAGAAGAUCUCUGUCCCAUGGGAAAAGAAGAGCGUCUCCUAAGGAGUGUUUUCUGAGACCGGCCUUGGAGCAAUAGAGUGGGAAUUUCCUGUUCAGCUAAGUGGCAAUCAAGUCUAUUGUUGGGGUUCCCUAGUGAUAAAAUAUGCAGUGGAGUACUGUUGGGUUCAUUUCCCACUUGUGGUCAUGUGAGAACUUGCAG
Chelonia mydas (Green sea turtle) is the source of this 480-nucleotide long non-coding RNA. RefSeq lists it as uncharacterized. NCBI's taxonomy places the organism in Eukaryota, Metazoa, Chordata, Testudines, Cheloniidae. The record is from RefSeq and is a predicted model, not a curated record. The transcript is spliced from 3 exons.